AGAGAACAUACCAAAACCUAGCGUUUUCUCUCACAAGUCAUUUUUUCCCACCAUGAUUCGAUCUCAAUCUUUGCAUCAUUUACUUCAAUCUGUAACUAAUUUCUUCGAUCUAUAAGUACUUUCUUUUUUUAAUCUCAACUGUGAGCCAUCUUUUUCUUGAAUCUUAAACUGUACCUUUUUGUAUUUCGUUUUGUAAUAGUAGAAAAAAGAUGGAAACCCAUUUUGUUUCCUCAUCAGUAAAGAAGAGUAACACAGAUAUCAACAGUGAAGACGUUUUGAAUUCCCUUUUAUUUCAUCAUCAAUAGUAUUAUCGGUGGAUUUCUCUAUGCCAAGCAUAUGGGUAAUGAUAUGUGGGAUGUGGCUAUUGAUAGAAGGUACACGAAGCUGGUUGAGAAAUUGCUAAUGUUGAGCAGUAUUAGUGGAAUUGAUGAUCUAAAUGUAAGAUUGUUAGGGUUUCAAUUGACUUGAUCUAAAAUGUCUGGUGGUGGUAUUAGAUCCAAGUAACCACGGAGUGAUGCAUGUUUGCAAGGUAGUUUAUAUUUGAAUCAAGUAGAGAGACAAACACGUCGAUCUGUGUUUGUGUGGCGGCUUCAACGAAAAAGCUGAAUUAGCAGCUAAGAGAGCUUGUCAAACAGAGAAAAGAUGGGUAUACAAAUGGAAAAGUGAUGAAAGUCAUUAUUUUUGAUUGGUUCGCAUGGAUGCAUCACUAUUGGUUUUUGACUAAGGAUGGUAUUGAGUUCUUGAGGACUUAUUUGUAUCUACAAUCUGGGACUGUGCCUAAUAUUUUGAAAGUUUGAAGAAAGCGGAUCAAACUGGUAAAGCACCACAUGGUGCUUUUAUUUACUGCUUACUUGGUCAAAGCAUUUGGUCAAUUGGUAGUGUUCUUGAGUUAAAGUGUUGGUUUCAAAUCUUAAUUUUUGACGUUCUUGUAAUAAGUUAACUAUUUACUGUCCCCAAUCAUGUUUUUGUUGUUCAAAUGCACAUGUUAGAUUAUUUUUUUGUGAUGUGAGAUGUUGUAUCUUAUAAUACCUUGUUUAUGGAAGUUCAUAUUUGUUGCAGAUGACACAAGUAAUAUCCCUGACCAAAUGUCAAUCCGCAACCUGAUCCCGCAGCAGUGGAGAAUUAUCAAUUUGUUCCGUAUUUUCGAUGGCGUAGGCAUUGAGCUGCUGCUAAGUGCAGGUGGAAGUGGAGUCCUUGUUCAACCGAUGUAGAGGUGGAUUCAAGGUUUGAGCAUAGAACUGGCAAGGGACGCAGCUAUGGACCUCCAUACGAAUGACAACCAACGAGUUUGAUUGCUUCCCAGGGAAGCUGCUGGUGUUAAAAUUUCUAGUGGAGCAGCGGAAGCUCCAGCACUAGAAGCUGCAAAGUGAAUGGGACCAACCUGCUGUGUUUGUUCAUGUCAAGUAUGCCAUUUCAACCAAGAUGGAAGUGCUGAAUUUGAGUCUAAGAGGCCCUAAUUACUCAGCUCUUCCUUUUGCUAAGGAUUAAUAUCUCAAGAAUAUGGAGCGCAUAAUCCUGUUGAGCUUAUUCACUUCAAACUGUUUUGUAAAGAUGGACAUAGGAGAAUGACCUGGGCUGCAUAUGUUUUUUAGUUGUAAUUAAAGUUUGGUCACGGUUAUAACUGUAACAAAAAUAGUGAGUAAAAGAAACACAUGUCGUCAUCUCAGAGUUGUUGCAAAUAAGAGUAACAAUUUAACUGUUACAAUAGUCGUAACUGAAGGACUGCACGUGUCCCCCGCUUGUUUGUUGCAAGUACUGAGUAACACUUAUAAUUGUUAGAACAACCGUGGCAAGACUAACACGUGUUACAAUCAUAAAAUUAGUUCAAUUGUGACUAUUAACUAUGUAACGGGUUUUACGUGUGACUGUAUAUGGCUAUUGUCACAGAUAAAACCGUUACAAAACACCAUCACAAUUAUUAAUAACGGCCUAUGUAGUACAGUUAUAACCGUUACAAAUUCAAUCAGUAACAGGUAUAACCCGUGAUAAAAUCCUGGAAAUGGUGUAGUUAUAUCAGCUUUUAUUGUUUAGAGUGGGUCACCAUGGUCUUGGUGAUAUCAAUAGCUAUUAGAUGUGAAUUGUCGGUUAGGAAUUUACAACCAUAUUAUACAUUGUUUGAAG
Long non-coding RNA from Papaver somniferum (opium poppy), 2121 nucleotides. RefSeq lists it as uncharacterized. The transcript has 12 exons. NCBI's taxonomy places the organism in Eukaryota, Viridiplantae, Streptophyta, Magnoliopsida, Ranunculales, Papaveraceae. The record is from RefSeq and is a predicted model, not a curated record.